UACAGAGGUCUCAAGCGUUGUUCGGAUUCAUUGGGCGUAAAGGGUGCGUAGGCGGCGCGGUAAGUCGGAUGUGAAAUCUCGGAGCUUAACUCCGAAACUGCAUUCGAUACUGCCGUGCUUGAGGACUGGAGAGGAGACUGGAAUUUACGGUGUAGCGGUGAAAUGCGUAGAUAUCGUAAGGAAGACCAGUGGCGAAGGCGGGUCUCUGGACAGUACCUGACGCUGAGGCACGAAGGCCAGGGGAGCAAACGGG
This 253-nucleotide ribosomal RNA is filed under the name uncultured bacterium. Its description in RNAcentral is "partial 16S ribosomal RNA". It matches the Rfam family "Bacterial small subunit ribosomal RNA", at positions 524 to 776 of the family's 1533-position model. The record is from RNAcentral.